Molecule: ribosomal RNA, 521 nt
Filed under: uncultured bacterium
Lineage: Bacteria
Description: bacterial SSU rRNA
Rfam family: Bacterial small subunit ribosomal RNA
Source: RNAcentral
AAUAGAUACCCGGGUAGUCCACGCCGUAAACGAUGGAUACUAGCUGUUGGGGGGCAACUUCAGUGGCUAAGCGAAAGUGAUAAGUAUCCCACCUGGGGAGUACGAACGCAAGUUUGAAACUCAAAGGAAUUGACGGGGGCCCGCACAAGCGGUGGAGCAUGUGGUUUAAUUCGAUGAUACGCGAGGAACCUUACCAAGGCUUAAAUGCAGACUGACCGAUUUGGAAACAGAUCUUUCGCAAGACAGUUUACAAGGUGCUGCAUGGUUGUCGUCAGCUCGUGCCGUGAGGUGUCAGGUUAAGUCCUAUAACGAGCGCAACCCCUGUUGUUAGUUGCCAGCGAGUCAUGUCGGGAACUCUAACAAGACUGCCAGUGCAAACUGUGAGGAAGGUGGGGAUGACGUCAAAUCAUCACGGCCCUUACGCCUUGGGCUACACACGUGCUACAAUGGCCGGUACAGAGAGCAGCCACCUCGCGAGGGGGUAGCGAAUCUAUAAAGCCGGUCACAGUUCGGAUCGGAGU